RNAcentral lists this ribosomal RNA (305 nucleotides) under uncultured bacterium. RNAcentral describes it as "bacterial SSU rRNA". It matches the Rfam family "Bacterial small subunit ribosomal RNA", at positions 335 to 637 of the family's 1533-position model. The record is from RNAcentral.
GUCCUACGGGAGGCAGCAGUGAGGAAUAUUGGUCAAUGGCCGGAAGGCUGAACCAGCCAAGUCGCGUGAGGGAAUAAGGCCCUAUGGGUCGUAAACCUCUUUUGUCAGGGAGCAAAGGCGUCCACGUGUGGACGAGAGGAGAGUACCUGAAGAAAAAGCAUCGGCUAACUCCGUGCCAGCAGCCGCGGUAAUACGGAGGAUGCGAGCGUUAUCCGGAUUUACUGGGUGUAAAGGGAGCGUAGGCGGCAAGGUAAGCCAGAAGUGAAAGCCCGCGGCUCAACUGCGGGACUGCUUUUGGAACUAUU